AGAUAUAAUAAUGAUAAAUGAAGAAUUAGAGCUAUCUCCAAGUAUUUCCAGACUUCAGAGGUGUGUUUGCAGUGAGCACCCCAGGCUGCUGGCCAUGCUCCCCUCAGUGUGCAGAAGGCUGACCCUGACCAAGAAGAUGUGGGAGAGUCUCACUCUCCCUCUUUGCAGGAGAUCCUUCAGGAUUUGUUUUGCCUGCAGCUGUGCUCAGUGUAGAUCUGGCUUCUGCCCACCCUGACCUGCACGUGGGGACCUGGAUUUGUAUCCCAGGUGAGCUCAGGGGUGGGGCUGACAGAGCUCAAGUGAAGGUGUGUGACGGCUACCAAAUGAAGUCUGCUCCCAUAGCAAGGCCAUUUGUUGUGGAAAGGUGCCUCCAGUUGUUUUUGGAGGGUGUUCCUCCAACCACAGCUCUGCCACCACGGCACCUGCCAUGGUCUUCUGCUGCAGCUGGAAGGUCUUCAAAGCAUCCAGACCAGCAGAAGGCCAAUAUUCCUGGCUCUGGCUUCUAACCCGUGUUUGCCUACUGAUUCUAGUGGGUUCCCACAUGGUAUUAAAGGACUUGGAGCCCUUCUGCCAGGGGGAUGUUUCCAGUGUUAUUUCCUAAAGCCUUCUUGCAACAACAGAAAUAUCCACCAUGUUCCAAAGACGCUCAGUUAAACCUGAGAUUGAUCUGCUUUUAGGGGGAUCUCUACCUGGGCUGAGGUCCAGGCUUCACAUCUCUCCAUACAAUGCUCUUCCCUAAUGCUCACUGAAAGCCUGAAAGUGGCUGGGAGGAUUAGCUAAUGGGUAAUUUAAAUGGGGCAUUUCAUAGGAAAUGUGUAUGAUAGGCGAACUUGAAGCCUCACUUCAACCCUGCAGCUUUGUCUUGUCUCUGUGUGUCUCUUUGUGCCCUUGCCAUAUGUCUCUCUGCUACUUUUUCUGUUCUCAUCUUCCACCCCAUCAAUUGCAGAGCUCUCUUUCUUUGUAUUCUCAGGCAGUCUCAGCUAAAGCCCAUUUUUGUCAAUGGGAGUAAUAGACUAGGCCUUCAAACUCCAUCUGACAAUGAAUCUGCCCCACAUGGAAACAGAGAAAAAAGUUAAGUCCAGGAAAGAGAGCUUUAUAUAUGUCUGGACAUACAUACACAGAUUUAUUUUUUCAUUCCUUAUCUUAGUGUUUCUCUUUAAGCUGAAAGAUCUAAAGGGUAGUAAAUUUGUGAUAGAGAGCCUAGGAAAGUGGAUAUAUAAAGGCUGCUAAUGACA
This 1235-nucleotide long non-coding RNA is filed under the name Cyanistes caeruleus (blue tit). RNAcentral's name for it is "lncRNA (ENSCCEG00000013414.1)". The record is from RNAcentral. Lineage: Eukaryota; Metazoa; Chordata; Aves; Passeriformes; Paridae.